Molecule: ribosomal RNA, 147 nt
Filed under: Pseudomonadaceae bacterium
Lineage: Bacteria; Pseudomonadati; Pseudomonadota; Gammaproteobacteria; Pseudomonadales; Pseudomonadaceae
Description: partial 16S ribosomal RNA
Rfam family: Bacterial small subunit ribosomal RNA (bases 45-147)
Source: RNAcentral
UGAGCCAAGUUUAUAAGGUUUUCUCAAAACCUAAUUGCAGUAUUGAACUGAAGAGUUUGAUCAUGGCUCAGAUUGAACGCUGGCGGCAGGCCUAACACAUGCAAGUCGAGCGGUAACAGAGAGUAGCUUGCUACUUUGCUGACGAGC